UUCUUCCUUCAGGCUUUCUUCCAUCAAAUAUUUGUGGAGCUGGAACUGGGCUUCACUAUCAUAUUCCAAGGCCCUGUACUGGGAACAGACGAAGAAGCUCCUCCCAGAGACUGGAAGAAUGGUACAAGGUGUGAAAACCAAGGCUUAAAGCAUGCAAGUUAUUUGCCCAAGGUUUUUCAGCCACAAAUGAAGAAGCUGGGUCUGCUCCACACCUGUGAACCAGUCUAUUUCCACCAUAACCUGAACUCAGAUUAGCACCAGCCCAUGGAGAAUAGUCCAGAAGGCUGCCCAUAGCCUUAAAGGACAGUGUGAGCAUUAAUCACAGCCUGGUGCAUUUGAAGACCACCUCCGGAACAAUGUCGUUUUAAAUCUAUGCCCAAGGCUGAACUUGGAUUGGAAAGAUGGGAGAGACAGCAGGCCUGGGUGUAUUCAGGAUUAUUUCCUACUAACUCACUCUCUCCUCCCUCCUCCCUUUCUUGAAAGUGAGUGGUUAGGGAUGAGCGGUUGCAGGCAGAGAUGACAGCAUGAGAUAUUUCACCGAAGAGUGGGUGUUUAACCACCACUUGUCUAGGAGAUGGGCAACAUGUCCCAGAGAUGAUUCUAACAGGGAACUCUUCCUGGCAGAGUCCAGUGAAGGGAACCAGGAAAUUCGGGGGCAGGGCAAUCCCACUUUCUCUGUCAGGCGAGAUCACCUGCGCAGUGGUUUGAGUUCAG
Molecule: long non-coding RNA, 714 nt
Filed under: Pan troglodytes (chimpanzee)
Lineage: Eukaryota; Metazoa; Chordata; Mammalia; Primates; Hominidae
Description: long non-coding RNA NONPTRT007499
Source: RNAcentral